AACACGUAGUCAACAUGCCCAGGGGACGUGGAUAACCUCGGGAAACUGAGGAUAAACCGCGAUAGGCCAUAAUGUCUGGAAUGAUUUAUGGCUUAAAUCUACAUGGCCCCUGGAUUGGACUGCGGCCGAUCAGGCUGUUGGUGAGGUAAUGGCCCACCAAACCUAAAACCGGUACGGGCUCUGAGAGGAGAAGCCCGGAGAUGGGCACUGAGACAAGGGCCCAGGCCCUAUGGGGCGCAGCAGGCGCGAAACCUCUGCAAUAAGCGAAAGCUUGACAGGGUUAUUCUGAGUGAUUUCCGCUAAGGAAGUCUUUUGGCACCUCUAAAAAUGGUGCAGAAUAAGGGGUGGGCAAGUCUGGUGUCAGCCGCCGCGGUAAUACCAGCACCCCGAGUUGUCGGGACGAUUAUUGGGCCUAAAGCAUCCGUAGCCUGUUCUGCAAGUCCUCCGUUAAAUCCACCUGCUCAACGGAUGGGCUGCGGAGGAUACCGCAGAGCUAGGAGGCGGGAGAGGCAAACGGUACUCAGUGGGUAGGGGUAAAAUCCAUUGAUCUACUGAAGACCACCAGUGGCGAAGGCGGUUUGCCAGAACGCGCUCGACGGUGAGGGAUGAAAGCUGGGGGAGCAAACCGGAUUAGAUACCCGGGUAGUCCCAGCUGUAAACGAUGCAGACUCGGUGAUGGGUUGGCUUCGAGCCAACCCAGUGCCGCAGGGAAGCCGUUAAGUCUGCCGCCUGGGGAGUACGGUCGCAAGACUGAAACUUAAAGGAAUUG
RNAcentral lists this ribosomal RNA (769 nucleotides) under uncultured crenarchaeote. RNAcentral's name for it is "bacterial SSU rRNA". It matches the Rfam family "Archaeal small subunit ribosomal RNA", at positions 95 to 867 of the family's 1478-position model. Lineage: Archaea; Thermoproteati; Thermoproteota. The record is from RNAcentral.